AGAAUCAACGCUGGCGGCGUGCCUAACACAUGCAAGUCGAACGAGAAAGGGGAGCAAUCCCUGAGUAAAGUGGCGACCGGGUGAGUAACACGUGACUAACCUACCCUCGAGUGUGGAAUAACAUCGGGAAACCGAUGCUAAUACCGCAUAACAUCGGCGCUUUUAAGAGAUGCCGAUCAAAGGAGCAAUCCGCUUGAGGAGGGGGUCGCGGCUGAUUAGCUAGUUGGCGGGGUAACGGCCCACCAAGGCGAAGAUCGGUAGCCGGCCUGAGAGGGCGCACGGCCACACUGGAACUGAAACACGGUCCAGACUCCUACGGGAGGCAGCAGUGGGGAAUUUUGCGCAAUGGGGAAACCCUGACGCAGCAACGCCGCGUGGAGGAUGAAGCCCCUUGGGCGUAAACUCCUUUCGACCAAGACGAUAAUGACGGUACUGGUGGAAGAAGCACCGGCUAACUCUGUGCCAGCAGCCGC
RNAcentral lists this ribosomal RNA (473 nucleotides) under uncultured bacterium. RNAcentral describes it as "SSU rRNA". It matches the Rfam family "Bacterial small subunit ribosomal RNA", at positions 26 to 518 of the family's 1533-position model. The record is from RNAcentral.